RNAcentral lists this long non-coding RNA (849 nucleotides) under Vombatus ursinus (common wombat). RNAcentral's name for it is "lncRNA (ENSVURG00010020117.1)". Lineage: Eukaryota; Metazoa; Chordata; Mammalia; Diprotodontia; Vombatidae. The record is from RNAcentral.
ACUGCUGCUGUUCUUGAUGUCACUGGGAAUCUCAGGCUCCCAGGAAACAAGAAGUUUGGAUGAGAACUACUUAAGAAAAGAAGGGCAGAUGUUGAAUGUAAGCUGCUCGUAUCCUCUCAAGGACCAUGAGAAGUCUUGGAAAGUUUGGUGUAAACUACAAGAGAAUAGAAAGGAUUGUAACAAAUUAGUGGUCAUAACAAAAUUCUGGGUUUUCACCAAAGAAGGUAAAUUCUCCCUUCAAUUAAUUGAUGAGUCUAAGUCUGGCCACAUCAUCAUCAUAAUGUCAGGACUCAGGGAAAAGGACUCAGGACAUUACUGGUGCAUGACCAUCAAGAAAAACAAUGCCAUUAUCCUCAAGAGAAUCCACCUGGUAGUGUCUCCAGCCCAGAACACCACCAAAGAGAUUUGGACUACUUCAGGAGUCCCUUCCAACACUCCAGCCACCUGCAGUUUCUUAGAAAAGGAGAAAUUCCUCAUUUUGGGUGUGGUCCUGACCUUCCUGCUCCUAUUAGGGGUCCUUAUUACAGGAACUGUGUACAUCAAGAAACUCCACCAGAAAGUCAAGAAAGGGCAUCACCAAGGAGAUGGACUAUGAAGAAGGUCCUGGGGACAUCCAUUAUGCCUCAGUGACCUACAUUGGCCCCAGAGAACCGAUGUGCACAAACACACAGAAGGCAUCCAGCUCGAAGACUAUGCAAAUGCCCUUUGAGUCUGUGGAAUAUGCCAGCAUCACAAGGGCUGAACAUCAGCAUCCCAAAUCAACAGCCAUAUAUGAGUCAAUGGGCAAGGAGAGUUAGUCAUCUGUAGGUGCUUAAUAAAUACAUGUUGAUUGCUAAUAUAGAAAUAUGU